This is a long non-coding RNA of Raphanus sativus (radish), 1777 nucleotides long. RefSeq lists it as uncharacterized. Lineage: Eukaryota; Viridiplantae; Streptophyta; Magnoliopsida; Brassicales; Brassicaceae. The transcript has 7 exons. The record is from RefSeq and is a predicted model, not a curated record.
UCAUUAACGAUCGUUGAUCGAUCAAACAUCUCCAACUUUUCUGCAAUCAAACCUUUCUUCUUUCUUCAAACUCUAAUUUGGUUAUCUGUGAUUCUAACUCGAAGAAACCCAAUGGUAAGAACCCUUUCGUUAUCAAAUUAUUAUAGAGUCCGUUUGAUUACCAAAAAAUUAUAGAGUUUGAGCUUUGUGUUUUAAGAUUGUGGCCGAUGCUUUUUGAUCACUCGCCAUUGUUUUAUCUUACUUACAAGAGAAGUGAGUGUCGAGGGAGUUGGAGUUAACGCUAUUGUUGUUGUUGUUGUUGUUGGAAGGAAGCUUUGGUCAUGUAGAGAUGCUUCGUCUUAUCCACCUCAGCCAGUUCAUGCUAUUUUAUUGCAUAUAUAUAUAUAUAUAUAUAUAUGAUUUGCCUAAUAUGCUUUCUCUUUAAAAACUCUUGGUUAUGGACUUAUGGGUGAUCUCAAUUAAUCCUUUGAGUACGACAUAUGUUGUAUCAAUACAUAUAACAUGCACAAGUACUUUUCUUUCUGGUUAUCUUUUCUAAUGAGUCUGAUUGUGUUGUAGAUCAUCAAGAAUAGUUUUGCUAAAAGGAUUUGAUGAGAAUGAAUUUGUCAGAAAACCCUUCUGCAGCUCUACUUUUUUACUGUUAAAAGUAUGAACCAGCAGGUAAGAAUUGAAGUACAGUGGAGAUAAUAGCUGAGGAAGAAUGGGAGAAUUACUAUCAUAGUUGUCCUAUAGGAAGUCAGAUCAAGAAGGUGAAGCUUCGCUGAUGUACCUCCAGGAUCUUCACGAGAAGCAUGAUAGCUGGCUCCACCCAUUUGAGAGUGGGAACCAUGGGAUACUGUCUGUUAGCGAACCGUCUUUAGAGAUGGAUAACACUCUGCAUCCUGACAUCAAAGACCGUGUCUUUUACUUGGAAGGAAACCAUAUGCAUUUCAGCAUCCAGAAGGUCUCUGCUCUGGUUUUAGACUGUCAACUAAAUAUUGACUUCAGCAGAGAUAUUGAAACAAAGAGACACUAAGUUCUCAGACAAGGCGAGGUCAAAACUGGGGUCAUCGCCUUGAGGACUUGCGAGCCUAAUUCAUGAAGGCGGAAGCCUCACGCCUCAACGCUUUCUGGAUAUUAAGGUCAAGACGUCAAGUUGGAGCAAGGUUUGAAGUUUGUGGAAAUUUUUAAGAAGCAUACGAGCAAGAAUUGCAUUUUGGAUGAUUUUUUCUUCUGUGAGGUUCGACAGAAGACUACUACCUUAAGGAAGAAAGCCAAGCAACAGCAAAGCCAAGCAACAGCAAAGCCAAGCAACAGGUAAGUGAGGAGAAUAGUAUAGAGGAUGAGAAAAAGAAAUCUGCAACUGCUGAUCCAGCUCAUAAGGAAUCUCCUACAGCUUCUCAGACUACCGGUGAUGUCAAGUUGAUGAGAAUGGAUCUGUUUCUAAAUCAGUUGAUGUGAUGGAAAAUGGUUGCUAGAUAGAUUAGUUGAUGCUGCUCACGGCUUGAGCAUAAACAAAAGGUUUCUCUUGGGAAUGAUUGAGUGCCGUGAGCUUUGGAGCAGCUUUGAAGCAAGGAGGAGCUUUAGUACCUAAGACCGAGAACUGUUUCAUUGCCCUUAGAAAUUAAAAUCAUAUUUUCAUUUUUUUUUGUUUUUGUUCGCAACUGUCUUUAUAGUUUUUGUUUUUUUUUUUUUGCUUUUUCAGUUUCUGCUGAUGCUACUGCCAUGUUUAAUCUGAUGCUGGCACUUUCCUCAACUGAUACCAAAAAAAUAAUCUGAUGGUUAUACUUAUGUUUAA